RNAcentral lists this long non-coding RNA (285 nucleotides) under Trifolium pratense (red clover). RNAcentral's name for it is "long non-coding RNA (TPRA_LNC014424)". Lineage: Eukaryota; Viridiplantae; Streptophyta; Magnoliopsida; Fabales; Fabaceae. The record is from RNAcentral.
GUCAAGUAAUAAAAUUUAUAAGAUUCGUAUCCACAGGGAUUGUUUCAAUCUCGACAAAACAAUUAAAUUAAUUUAGGAUUAAUAGAAAGUGUGUGAAAAGGGGGGAUUUUCAGCUUGAAGUAGUAACAAUGACAAUAAUUAAAAGUGCAAGAUAUCGGAACGUGAACUUGUUAAUAGAGAACGGCGAUUAGGAAUUAUUUUGAAUCAUCUCUUUGUCCCUAACUGGUACUCUAGGUUCUAGUCCUCAAUGAUGAAAUUCUUAUAAUUACGACAAUAUAACAAAAU